This is a long non-coding RNA of Esox lucius (northern pike), 2081 nucleotides long. NCBI's taxonomy places the organism in Eukaryota, Metazoa, Chordata, Actinopteri, Esociformes, Esocidae. The record is from Ensembl.
UCAGUAGCUGUGUUGUUGUAAUGGCACUUUUUGUCAUCUACCAUUUACAUACUAUAUAGGCUGGUUAAAUAGACAGAAAAGUUCCCAUGACAAUGCCCUUCCCCCAGUGAAUAUCAGUAGAAGUGAAAGUAAAAGUAACCAUUUUAAAAUACACAAUGCAAACCUGCAAUCCUUGGGUCUCAUGAAAAGUAUUUAUGUUUGGGAUCAUUUCUGUGUAUUAAUGGAUGGAUGUACUGACAACAGGAAUUGUAUCAUCUUACUGCCUUUAAGACCUUACUAACCCACAUCGUGCGAGAUACAGAAAGUGUCAAAAGACUUAGACAUUGCAAGCGUGGCUGAAUCAGCCCUGAAGAUCCACACGGAAAGGAAGAAACACAAUCUGCAGUGGCCCGGAAUGGCACCAAUUAUAUUGCGUGACUUUGUCUCAGUACCACCUAAACUGCACAACCAGAAGGAAAACCCGAUUAACAGAUCAAUAUUUAACAUGCAUCCUCUACAAACCUUUCUUCAUGGGCGUAGAAUAACGAUUCAUGGUGUGCAGAGAUCCUGUGGACAAUGAAAAGUGUAGUCUCUUCUCCUGCGUAAGUGCAGAGGACAACAACAACACACCUUUUCCGUUGAUAUUUCCUGACAGUGCUAUUUCCAAAUCUUAUGCAUUUGGGGGGAAUAUUGCAUACAUGAUUAAUCAUGGUUUUGCGCCUUAAUUUAUACACAGCCGCCGAGACAGUUUGCCGAAGAACGAUGGGUAUGUGCUGCUUUCUAGCGAAUCCCUGAAAAAAACACUUUAACUCCCAACCGUAUUGUUUGUGUUGCAUUUAGUGGUGUGAUACAAAAGCUGUGUGGAUACUUUAAGUAACCAGGGAUUUUAUUGUGCACUUGUUUCUUGUGUGUAGCAGACAGACACCGUCUUUGGUUCAGACAGCAACCUGUGCAUUUGAUAUGAUAAACUCCUAAGCAAUGACAACCCGCAUGCAUUAUAUAUUCACAUUGACACCAUUGAAGACGAAGUCCAGGCCUCGAUCAUUGGGUGUUUAUGUUGAAAACCAAAAUCCAUCCCGAAUUGGAAAUGGCGAUCCGUAAUGGUAAGGUGUACACGAAAAUAUCAUGCAAAUAAAUGGAGUGAACAUUAUUCACACUGGGAAACAGUGCCGCGAGAAGCUUAAAAAAUAAAAAGUUGUUAGUUGUUAUUUAUACUUGUUUUGCACAUUCAUAUUUUGCACCUACAUUUUUAGAGAGAAAUAAACAUUUGUGUAACCAAAUGUAUAGUGGCAGUUUGAGUAAAUCUGAAAACCGAAGAACUCCCACAAUGUCUUGCUUACUUCUGAAAUAAUUAAAUCACAACAGAAUAAGAAAAAUGUUUAUGUGCGAUAGCGUGAUUCCGUCUCAGUCAUUUCAAGGUCAAUGUCCGUAACAGCUCGUAAAAUCCAAUAAAUCACAAUCAACAGCCGCACAACUUGAAUCUCAUCCAUGGUUACUGUGCAAUGUCGCUUUGUAUGGCGUACGUAGGUCAGAGUGAGUGUUACGAACCCUUUGGAUCUAGCAGUCCAGGGUGGAUGGUACAGAUACCCGUAACAUAAAACUCAUGCAAAUAAGCAUAGACUGUAUGCAAAUAAGUGUAAUGUAAAUGAACAGUGAGAACCAACGACACAGACAACCAAAGCUACCGUCAAACAUAAAAUGUUAAUUAUAAACACGCAUAGUCCAAACACCCCUGAACUGAACUUGCCUGCCACAAGAACCGCUUGGCUGCACUACUAACCAAUAAAAAAAAACAGUGGGUGGUCAACUCUGUUCUAACUGUUGUUUUUAGACAAAGUUUUCCUACGGGAAAACUACAACCCCUUGCCGUAUGUUUAUAAUCAAAAAGUUAUGUUUAUAAUAACAUUUACAUUUUUGACGGUUGCUUUGGUUGUCUUGGUCUUUUGUAAUCACUGUGACUUAAAUAAAAAUGUUGUUCAUUGUCGGUCAUUUUUUUUGUCACAAAGUUUGAACUUACUGUUUUUAUCUAUUAUACAUAGGUUAUUUGGAAGUUGCAGUAGGUUGACGUGGCUUCACAGAUGAUUGCAUCACUACUUCAAAUA